RNAcentral lists this ribosomal RNA (253 nucleotides) under uncultured bacterium. RNAcentral describes it as "partial 16S ribosomal RNA". It matches the Rfam family "Bacterial small subunit ribosomal RNA", at positions 524 to 776 of the family's 1533-position model. The record is from RNAcentral.
UACAGAGGUGCCAAGCGUUAGGCGGAAUCACUGGGCUUAAAGCUCGCGUAGGCGGAUGUUUAAGUGUCUUGUGAAAUCCCACGGCUCAACCGUGGAACUGCUGGGCAUACUGGACAUCUCGAGGCACUCAGGGGCGAGCGGAACAAGUGGUGGAGCGGUGAAAUGCGUAGAUAUCACUUGGAACGCCAAUGGUGGAAACAGGUAGCUGGGGAUGUGCCGACGCUGAGACACGAAAGCCAGGGGAGCGAACGGG